GUGUCAGCCGCCGCGGUAAUACAGAGGUCCCAAGCGUUGUUCGGAUUCACUGGGCGUAAAGGGUGCGUAGGUGGUCGGGUAAGUCUGAGGUGAAAUCUCCGAGCUUAACUCGGAAACUGCCUUGGAUACUAUUCGGCUCGAGGGUUGGAGGGGGGACUGGAAUUCUCGGUGUAGCAGUGAAAUGCGUAGAUAUCGAGAGGAACACCAGUGGCGAAGGCGAGUCCCUGGACAACUCCUGACGCUGAGGCACGAAAGCUAGGGGAGCAAACAGGAUUAGAUACCCCCGUAGUCC
RNAcentral lists this ribosomal RNA (292 nucleotides) under uncultured bacterium. RNAcentral's name for it is "partial 16S ribosomal RNA". It matches the Rfam family "Bacterial small subunit ribosomal RNA", at positions 505 to 796 of the family's 1533-position model. The record is from RNAcentral.